RNAcentral lists this unclassified non-coding RNA (27 nucleotides) under Mus musculus (house mouse). RNAcentral describes it as "oocyte_clustered_small_RNA13652". Lineage: Eukaryota; Metazoa; Chordata; Mammalia; Rodentia; Muridae. The record is from RNAcentral.
UAGCUGGAUCCAUCGUUAAAGUGAUAC